Molecule: small RNA, 381 nt
Filed under: Pongo abelii (Sumatran orangutan)
Lineage: Eukaryota; Metazoa; Chordata; Mammalia; Primates; Hominidae
Description: retained intron
Source: RNAcentral
GUGGAGGCUCAGCUCCCACCCCAAGGGCCUUGGGAACCAGGCUGGGAGAGGCUGGAGCAGCGGGCUGCCACCCUGCAGUUCACCACACUCCCAGCAGGCCCGCCUGAUGCCCCUCUGGAUGUGCAGAUCGAGCCUGGGCCCUCCCCUGGGAUCCUGAUCAUCAGUUGGCUCCCAGUCACCAUCGAUGCUGCUGGCACAUCCAACGGUGUCCGGGUCACAGGCUAUGCCAUCUACGCUGAUGGGCAGAAGGUAUGGCCCUGCCCACUGUACCCUGGGAGUGGGGGUGGGUCCCUUCUUGCUAUGCUCAGAGGCCUAGGCUCUCUGGCCUGGCACAGAGAUGCCCAGCCCCUGGCAUUUAGGCACCAUGAGGCAGAUGGGUUA